CGGCGUUGGCGGGGCGGGCGGCAGCGCCAGCCUUGCGGCGGCUGCUGGGCGUGGCUGCACGGGCGGGCUUGUUCGAGCCGAAAGCGGCGGC
This 91-nucleotide transfer RNA is filed under the name Achromobacter deleyi. Its description in RNAcentral is "tRNA-Arg". Lineage: Bacteria; Pseudomonadati; Pseudomonadota; Betaproteobacteria; Burkholderiales; Alcaligenaceae. The record is from RNAcentral.